Molecule: long non-coding RNA, 354 nt
Filed under: Apteryx rowi (Okarito brown kiwi)
Lineage: Eukaryota; Metazoa; Chordata; Aves; Apterygiformes; Apterygidae
Description: lncRNA (ENSARWG00000008018.1)
Source: RNAcentral
GCUGAUCCUGUUAGUGCUGAACACUCGCCAAAAUCCAGAGACAAGGGACAGAAGUCAACGUUGCUCAGCACCUUGCAGGAUUGGAGCCUUCGGGCUGGACGCGGGGCUGUUGGGACAGAUCCUGCACGAUGCUGCGUGCGUCCUGGGAGGACCGGGUCUCGAGGAGCACAGUCGUCGCGGGCUCUGGCGAGGAGGCGCCGCGGUGGACAUGAGCACUGAGGUCUCACCUCGAUAGUGGCUGAGGCUCGUGUCCCAAGGACCCAGUCCCUGCCAUGGGGCAGCAGAACAUGGCCCUCCAUGAAGAACCAGAUGCUGGUUUUUGGAGGCCAGAUGAAGCGGUCGUCUGCUUUGCUA